Molecule: ribosomal RNA, 329 nt
Filed under: uncultured bacterium
Lineage: Bacteria
Description: bacterial SSU rRNA
Rfam family: Bacterial small subunit ribosomal RNA
Source: RNAcentral
GGGCCCGCACAAGCGGUGGAGUAUGUGGUUUAAUUCGAUGCAACGCGAAGAACCUUACCAGGGUUUGACAUCCUGCGAAUCUCUUGGAAACAGGAGAGUGCCUUCGGGAACGCAGUGACAGGUGGUGCAUGGCUGUCGUCAGCUCGUGUCGUGAGAUGUUGGGUUAAGUCCCGCAACGAGCGCAACCCACGUCUUUAGUUGCCAGCAUUUAGUUGGGCACUCUAAAGAAACUGCCCGUGAUAAGCGGGAGGAAGGUGUGGAUGACGUCAAGUCCUCAUGGCCCUUACGGGUUGGGCUACACACGUGCUACAAUGGUAGUGACAAUGGGU